CUUGCUUGCUUACUUACUUACAGGUUGCCUCAGCUGACCUUUAAUUCACCACCGAGCCCACAUUGGUCUCAAACUUGCAGUAGAUCUGGUAGUGAUAAGCAAUCCCCAUGCCUCAGCCUCCUGGGUGCUAGUAUUAUAGGCAUGAACCACCAUAUACAGCUACAGUUCACUUCCAAGAAACCAAACCUAGGCAGACUUGCCCAGGGUACCUCUUCUAAUGAUAUUCUGAGUGGGGGCAAAAGUGUGUCUUUAUUUUGUAAAUGUGAUGAGUUACAAGGUGAGACACCACUACCCAGUCCCAGGGACAAAUGGAAGAAUCAACACAGCAGGGCAGCCACAAUACAAAGGCUGUCCUCACACCUCUUAGGCAUUCCACAGCAUCCCUUGGUGGGGUGGGGGAUACUGCACUGUUCAUUCUUGCAGUGUGUCAUGUAAAUACACACUUCACAUUUAAAGGCCAAAUGUGAAUCAAAUCAACAGCAGCAGAGCUCUGCUUUACCAUGUACACCCACGUUUAAGGAUCUUUUAAAACAAUUGGUAUGUUAGAGUCAAAGGCCUAUGUGUAUACCUUGGAAGUGUCUGCUCUUAGGAACACUGAGACAUGGUAUUUCCCUUUUGCCCUCACACAUGCCCAAUAAGUCUGCAUAGUCACCAUUAUAUUUACUCCCCUAGCGUGAAAGUAGAAUUCAUGAUCUGAUGGCUUCAAAGGACCUAGACUCUAUCUGGAGACAGGCAGACUCAGGCUUAGGCCACACUCACUAAUACCCAAUGAGAACAGGUUUACAGCAGAAAGCACAUCAGAGGCCAUCACAAAGGCUUUCCUGCCAUGAGUCUGGGUGAAUGAAACCAGGUCAUAAUUGCUAAAAGCCCCCAACACCCAGUCUGCACAUACCCAGGUCCCCAUUGCCUUCCUUCAGCUCUUCUGUUGCCAAACCUUUGCUUGAAUUAUUUUUAGUACCCACACUGCUCAAGAAAGCUUCAAAUGCCAAGUUUCUUUGCAAACUGAAAUGAUUCCAAACCUCAGCAAUCCUGUUUCACAAGAAACGUGUAAACACAGUCCCUCCUGGAGAACAGAGGCAUUCAUGGGAUCCGGUACCCCGCCAGGCUCAUCAGGGUCUCCUGCAGGAAACCCAGUUGCUCUGAGUUGCAAGCAGCCAUCCCCAAAGGUACCUGGUUUUGCUCUCCCUGCCACCUGGGGCAGUUAACCUUGCUGUUGAAUGGAUCACAGUCUUUGCUAAGGCACUUCUAGGAGAAGGAGUUGAAACCUUGUCAUAGAAAUGUUGUCUUCUCGGAUUUGGCUCUGGGGUAGAUAAAAAUCUCCCUCUGCUCUUUUGUCCAGUGUGGCAGGUGACAACAGACGCCAUCGGCUAUACUCAUGCUCCCUCCCUCCCCAAAGAAGCACGGUGCAUUUACCUUGCCCAGUACCCAUUAGAAAAAGCAUCACUUCCUGUAGGUGAGAGGGAAGUUGGUUGAAGGCCACCUAGCAUGCUGUCCUGGAGGCUCCAGGUUACUAGGGCCCCAACAAUCAAUACUUCAUACUCCUGCAUCUUCCUAUAUUGCUUUUGUUUUUGCCAUCUGCCACGGAGGGUGAGCAGAGUCAUGCCAUCCAUCACUGGAGGCAUCCAGAUAGGGCCAGUAGAUGACAUAGAGGUCUUCCACGGCAAGGAAAACAUCAAGUGUGCCCAUCAAGGCUAAGGCUAGGAUCCUCUGGGGAAAUGGACUUUCUAUCUUAAUGUUUCAAGAAAACCAAGAUUUCAGAAAAUAAAAGUUAUUUCUGACGACACUUGGUUGGUUUCUGCAGUGCUUCAGUUCCUCGAUAGCAGAUUCUUAGGAAAAUGAACAGAAACACUUGUGGAGUCAGUGCCCUUCCCGUCCGUGUGCAUGCCCACGAAUGCACACUACCUAGGGCGAAAGUUCAGCCCAAACAGCUGAACCCUGGGUACCAGACACAGGGAGCAGAAGGCCACUGUCUUGUGUCAUCGUGCUUUUAACUUUGCUAUUUUAAUUUAACCCACAGAACUAGGGCUCCAUUAUUCUUAAAUAAAAUAUCACUACUAGCUCUCCCGACGUGGCAACAUUGCCUUCCCUGUGACACACCUGCCGUCAGCUGUAAGCUGAUGAAAUAGGACUCAAGAGAUUUGAAUCUAAGGCCAGUGCUGCCUGCUCUGUUUACAAUGGCUUAUGUUUUGUGAAUAUAUAUCAAAUGCUGUAAUAUAUUUUUAUGAUAGAAUUGAUGGUUAACACAAGGGAAAUAUAUAUACAUAUAUAUAUAUAUAUAUAUAUUGUGAUUCUGUCUAAUAAAGAUUCCUGUUAUAAAAUC
Molecule: long non-coding RNA, 2320 nt
Filed under: Mus musculus (house mouse)
Lineage: Eukaryota; Metazoa; Chordata; Mammalia; Rodentia; Muridae
Description: long non-coding RNA chr7:131992087-131994407
Source: RNAcentral